This 406-nucleotide ribosomal RNA is filed under the name uncultured bacterium. RNAcentral describes it as "partial 16S ribosomal RNA". It matches the Rfam family "Bacterial small subunit ribosomal RNA", at positions 30 to 526 of the family's 1533-position model. The record is from RNAcentral.
AUUGAACGCUGGCGGCAGGCCUAACACAUGCAAGUCGAACGAGUGGCGGACGGGUGAGUAAUGUCUGGGAAACUGCCCGAUGGAGGGGGAUAACUACUGGAACCGGUAGCUAAUCCCGCAUACCAUCGGAUGUGCCCAGAUGGGAUUAGCUAGUAGGUGGGGUAAUGGCUCACCUAGGAGACGAUCCCUAGAUGGUCUGAGAGGCUGACCGGCCAAACUGGAACGGAGACACGGUCCAGACUCCUACGGGAGGCAGCAGUGGGGAAUAUUGCACAAUGGGCGCAAGCCGGAUGCAGCCAUGCCGCGUGUAUGAAGAAGGCCUUCGGGUUGUAAAGUACUUUCAGCGGGGAGGCGUUACCCGCAGAAGAAGCACCGGCUAACUCCGUGCCAGCAGCCGCGGUAAUUC